RNAcentral lists this ribosomal RNA (497 nucleotides) under uncultured bacterium. Its description in RNAcentral is "partial 16S ribosomal RNA". It matches the Rfam family "Bacterial small subunit ribosomal RNA", at positions 28 to 507 of the family's 1533-position model. The record is from RNAcentral.
GAUGAACGCUGGCGGCGUGCCUAAUACAUGCAAGUCGAGCGAACGGACGAGAAGCUUGCUUCUCUGAUGUUAGCGGCGGACGGGUGAGUAACACGUGGAUAACCUACCUAUAAGACUGGGAUCACUUCGGGAAACCGGAGCUAAUACCGGAUAAUAUUUUGAACCGCAUGGUUCAAAAGUGAAAGACGGUCUUGCUGUCACUUAUAGAUGGAUCCGCGCUGCAUUAGCUAGUUGGUAAGGUAACGGCUUACCAAGGCAACGAUGCCUAGCCGACCUGAUAGGGUGAUCGGCCACACUGGAACGGAGACACGGUCCAGACUCCUACGGGAGGCAGCAGUAGGGAAUCUGCCGCAAUGGGCGAAAGCCUUGCGGAGCAACGCCGCGUGAGUGAUGAAGGUGUUCGGAUCGUAAAACUCUGUUAUUAGGGAAGAACAUAUGUGUAAGUAACUGUGCACAGCUUGACGGUACCUAAUCAGAAAGCCACGGCUAACUACGUG